Molecule: transfer RNA, 69 nt
Filed under: Hyphessobrycon elachys
Lineage: Eukaryota; Metazoa; Chordata; Actinopteri; Characiformes; Acestrorhamphidae
Description: tRNA-Cys
Rfam family: tRNA
About the family: Transfer RNA (tRNA) molecules are approximately 80 nucleotides in length. Their secondary structure includes four short double-helical elements and three loops (D, anti-codon, and T loops).
Source: RNAcentral
AGCCCCGUGGUGUAAAAAGCUCAUUGGAUUGCAAACCCAAAGGCGUAGGUUUAUAACCUGCCGGGGCUU